RNAcentral lists this ribosomal RNA (510 nucleotides) under uncultured bacterium. RNAcentral's name for it is "partial 16S ribosomal RNA". It matches the Rfam family "Bacterial small subunit ribosomal RNA", at positions 28 to 507 of the family's 1533-position model. The record is from RNAcentral.
GACGAACGCUGGCGGCGUGCUUAACACAUGCAAGUCGAACGAAGAGCGAUGGAAGCUUGCUUCUAUCAAUCUUAGUGGCGCACGGGUGAGUAACGCGUAAUCAACCUGCCCUUCAGAGGGGGACAACAGUUGGAAACGACUGCUAAUACCGCAUACGAUCUAAUCUCGGCAUCGAGGAUAGAUGAAAGGUGGCCUCUACAUGUAAGCUAUCACUGAAGGAGGGGAUUGCGUCUGAUUAGCUAGUUGGAGGGGUAACGGCCCACCAAGGCGAUGAUCGGUAGCCGGUCUGAGAGGAUGAACGGCCACAUUGGGACUGAGACACGGCCCAGACUCCUACGGGAGGCAGCAGUGGGGAAUCUUCCGCAAUGGACGAAAGUCUGACGGAGCAACGCCGCGUGAGUGAUGACGGCCUUCGGGUUGUAAAGCUCUGUUAAUCGGGACGAAAGGCCUUCUUGCGAAUAGUGAGAAGGAUUGACGGUACCGGAAUAGAAAGCCACGGCUAACUACGUG